CAGAAACCUCUCAUCUCUCUACUUUAUUAACAGAUCAGUUAAGAAUUUUAAACCAUAGAGGAAAACAAUUAAUAGCAUAUGCAACGGAAAUAGAAGGCACAUCAAUUAGAUACCAAAUCAUAAGUACAUUAAACUCAAACAGAUUCCGUGCAUCAUAAUGGUUUGUUCUCUUCCUUACAAUUCCUUUUUCUUCUUGUCAGAUUCACAUUUUUUGGUAUGUUGUUUUUGAUCCAAGACUGCUGUUCACUGCUCAGUAAGACGAAGCUCCAAAUGUGAGAUCUGCUUGAAUAGGAGAAGCACAGGCAUUGAAGGAUUUGCAAAAAGAGGCUGCUCCAAAUCCUAAAGUCCAUCUGAUGAGUAGAAAAGUGAGAACACCAAAGGACAGAUACUACUAGAAGUAUUCAAGCCCAACUCAUUAGUUACCACAAAGCAAUGAAAGUUUCAGGUGCCUUGACUCCACUAACUUAACAUAUAACUUUUAUCCUGUAAGCUUUUGAUAUACGACAGACAAACAAAUUUUAGUGGGACAAAAGUUACAAUGAAUAGUUCAUCACUUCGUUGGAGACUCCAAGCAAAAAUAAUCGACUAGAAAUUGCUUCACAAUCACAUUAUGCAAUGGCAAUAGCAAGGUUUUAAGUGCCCAUCGACACAGGUCGUGCCCACUGUGUAAUACCAUGCUAACAAAAUAUUGGCAUGAUACGAUCCCCAUGUCAAUAGCACAACACAAUAUCCUCUUUUCUUUGAAAUUAGCAAGUAUUGUUUCAAUACAGUGCAAAUAAUUUGAUGAAGAUACAUAAUAAGUAAUUAGAAUAUACUGAUGCUAAAGAAAAUAAAUACUUUAUGUCUUAUUGCGUCGACAAACAGGUAUUUCUGUGACCGGCGCACAUUGGUAUGGCACAACAAGCACCGUGUCAUACCCUGCCAACAAGUUUCCCAUACGACCCCGUGCCAUGGCACUAAAAUCCUUGGGCAAUAGAAAGUACAAAUAACAUGGACACAGAGAUAAACAUUGUUGACUAUUUUUUUAUAAUUUUAUAAUUUUUGCAUUAUGUCGGGGACCUUAUUGUAAAACUCUUAAUAUAUAAAUAUAUCUCUUUGAGAUCAUGGAGGUGAGAACCCUAAUCCAAUUUAAACAUCAGUUUCAUUAUGGUAUCGAAGCCAAACCAAAUUUAGGGUUUUUCGAAAAAUAGGGAUAAGGCCCAAUCGGUUCUUCCUUCUUCCAAUUAGACCUCUACAAGCCUACAGUCAUCCAUCUCUUCUUGGUGCUAUUCCUCGUCUCCACAUCAUUCUUCUCUGCUUCACCCUUUCCCUACACUACUUCGCUUAGAUCUUGAUCAGGCAUUUCACCUUUUGUGGCUGUUACAAUACUACCAACCUUAAUAUUUGAGACAAGUUACCUACUUUUGCUACAAAACGAAUGAAGGUUUGGUAAAUGCAUCAAUAGGAUCUGAAUAAUUCUUUCCUGUUACUGUUAUAUUGCUGGUUGCAUCUUUUAUGCACUCAAGAUGUCAAAAGUUAACUCUGAUAACAAUUCUAAUAGAGUUAACACAACGCCGAAGACAAAAAUCAUGGUGAACGAUAGUCCCCCUGCAAAUUAGCCCUAUUAAACUAGGUGGACAAAAUUAUUUGUCAUUGUAUUUAUCCUGUUUAUUGUUUAUUAAAGCUAGGGGGCCUCAUGAUUACAUUACAGGUAGACGAAACAUGCCGCCAGAGGAAGAUUCUACAUCUAGUCAAUGGGAAUCGGAAAAUUCAUUGAUCAUGUCAUGACUAUUAAAGUCAAUGGAACCAGCAAUUGCACAAGGCUUUCUUUUUUUGGAUUCUACCUACAAAAUCUGGACUGCAGUGGCUCAAACUUAUUCUAAGAAAGGAAAAAAUGCACUAGUAUAUGAGCUCAGAAAAAAAUGCAUGAAACAAAGCAGGGAGAUGGAACUGUUGCUCAAUACAUUGCAGAGCUUAGCAGUUUAUGGCAGGAAUUAGAUUAUUGUCAUGAUUUUCAAGCUAAAUGCCCUGAUGAUGCAGCAAUGUUUCAAAAACAGAUCGAGAGUUUUUAUGACUUCCUUGCUGGCUUACAAGUAGAAUUUGAUCCAAUAAGAGUUCAAGUGCGUGGAAGAGAUCUGUUCCCUUUACUAAAGGAGGCCUAUGCUUAUGUUCAACAAGAAGAAAGCAGAGGGAAUGCUAUGAUCUAUCAACUAACUUUUGAGAAAUCUGCAUUGUCCUGAGCUGCAUCAAGUAGAACUAUGAAAAGCAUUCAAAAUAAAGUGAUCUCAUAGAUAAAGAAAGGAAGUGAUCUCAUAGAUAAAGAUAAUCUUAAGUGUCACCAUUGUGAACAAAGCAGGAACACCAAGGAGACAUGUUAGAAGUGGCAUGGACGUCCUAUGAGAGGAAGAGUAAGAAGAAGUGGAAGCGGCCGAGGCUAUGGGAGAUCACAAGCAUACCAAGCGGAAGGCCCCGACACACUACAUUCGGAAGGAGCUCACAUGGAGUGUAAAGGCCUAUCUCAUGAAGAACUUCUAACACUUCGCCGACUCAUGAUAAAGCUUUGAUUCAACUGAAGCUAACUCCAAUUUUAUUCAUCCACUACUGCUACAUUCACCUCUAACUUUGCUCUCUCAGAUACUAUUGCUAAUGCAUUGCUUAGUAACAAUACUAGUUCUCAAUAUUGGAUCAUUGAUUCCGGUGCCUCCGACCAUAUGACUGGUGCAUCAAAUCAUUUCCCAUCUUACUUUCCUUCCUCAGACAAAGAUAAAGUUCAUAUUGCUUAUGGUUUUAUGUCAACAAUUUCUGGAAAAGGUUCUAUUGUUUGCAAUUCUAGUUUAGCCCUAACUUAUGUUCUACAUGUUCCCUCUUUUCCAACCAAUCUUCUCUCCAAUAGAGCUAUUACCAGGGACUUGAAUUGUAAAGUUAUUUUCUUUCCUUCCUAUUGUGGUUUCAGGAACUAGGGACAAGGAGAACGAUUGGCUAUGGUAGAGUGCAUGACAAGCUUUAUCUUCUGGAGGGAGGACCGAGAUUAUAUGCUGGACAGAAUUUUUGUUUUUUAAACCGGAUUAAGUAGUACUUGUCAAGAGGCAUAUUUGUGGCAUCUUAGGUUAUGACACUUAUCUUUUCGAAUAAUGGAAAACAUGUUUCCGAAAUUUUUUGAGAAAUGUGACUCAAAACAGUUGACAUGUGAUGCAUUUGAAUUUGCAAAA
Ananas comosus (pineapple) is the source of this 3188-nucleotide long non-coding RNA. RefSeq lists it as uncharacterized. NCBI's taxonomy places the organism in Eukaryota, Viridiplantae, Streptophyta, Magnoliopsida, Poales, Bromeliaceae. The transcript is spliced from 2 exons. The record is from RefSeq and is a predicted model, not a curated record.